ACCCGUGGAGGAGCAGGUGGCAUUACCUGGGUGGCGGGCGGAGAAGCCACGGCGAGCCGGCGCUCCCGCGGGGCGUUUGGGAGGGAGCGAGAUGGACGACCCGGCGCAGACUCGCGGGCCCGGCGCAGACUCGCAGCGGCCGGGCCUGGACCUGCCGCCGGAGCCGCCUGACCGGUGGAUAAAGUGGAGGAAAGCGAAUUCCUGGACAGCAGGAUUGUAAAUACACGCAGCCCUGAGAAGCAGCUUGGCAACUUUGGUUAAAAUGUGUCACGACCGCAGAGUUCCUAUAGGAACAGCAGCUGUUGUGUGACUGUGAUGGGAAAAGCCACAGGACAGACAGUGAAGCAAGAAGACGGGCAUCCAGGGACAAGACAUUCCUGAGCAGUGGUGCAGCCUCGAUGAUUUACCAUGGGGCCCCUUAGCCAGUGGCCUGUUAGCGCCUUUCUUUGUAACCCACGGGGUUAGCGUUUUCUGUUGCAGUGAAUCCCGUCCUAACUAGCAAAGAUGGACUCGCACCUGUAAUAUGCCGUACAUUUUUUAAAAAGAUCUAUUUAUUUAUGUGUACAAGAAGUGGGGUACAGGCCAAGG
Condylura cristata (star-nosed mole) is the source of this 588-nucleotide long non-coding RNA. RefSeq lists it as uncharacterized. The transcript is spliced from 3 exons. The record is from RefSeq and is a predicted model, not a curated record. NCBI's taxonomy places the organism in Eukaryota, Metazoa, Chordata, Mammalia, Eulipotyphla, Talpidae.